GAUUAACGCUGGCGGCGUGCAUAACACAUGCAAGUCGAACGAUGAAACUUUAAUGAACCCUUCGGGGAGAAUUAAAGCGGAUUAGUAGCGAACGGGUGAGUAACGCGUGAGUAACCUGCCUUACACAAGGGGAUAGCCUUUGGAAACGAAGAAUAAUACCCUAUAAAACCAUAAAAGCACAUGCAAUUAUGGUCAAAGUGAUAGCGGUGUAAGAUGGACUUGCGUCUGAUUAGCUAGUUGGUGAGAUAAAAGCCCACCAAGGCAACGAUCAGUAGCCGGCUUGAGAGAGUGUACGGCCACAUUGGGACUGAGACACGGCCCAGACUCCUACGGGAGGCAGCAGUGGGGAAUUUUGCACAAUGGGGGAAACCCUGAUGCAGCGACGCCGCGUGAUUUAGAAGGCCUUCGGGUUGUAAAAAUCUUUUGUAUAGGAAGAAAAUGACAGUACUAUACGAAUAAGGUCCGGCUAAUUACGUG
Molecule: ribosomal RNA, 477 nt
Filed under: uncultured bacterium
Lineage: Bacteria
Description: partial 16S ribosomal RNA
Rfam family: Bacterial small subunit ribosomal RNA
Source: RNAcentral